This 494-nucleotide ribosomal RNA is filed under the name uncultured bacterium. Its description in RNAcentral is "partial 16S ribosomal RNA". It matches the Rfam family "Bacterial small subunit ribosomal RNA", at positions 28 to 507 of the family's 1533-position model. The record is from RNAcentral.
GACGAACGCUGGCGGCGUGCUUAACACAUGCAAGUCGAACGGAAAGGCCUGCUUUCCCUUGUGGAUUGCGGGUACUCGAGUGGCGAACGGGUGAGUAACACGUGAGCGAUCUGCCCCCAACUUGGGUAUAAGCCUGGGAAACUGGGUCUAAUUCCCGAUAGGACUGCAGGGUGGUGCCUGUGGUGGAAAACGAUUUUCUAGUGGUUGGGGAUGAGCUCGCGGCCUAUCAGCUUGUUGGUGGGGUAAUGACCUACCAAGGCGGCGACGGGUAGCCGGCCUGAGAGGGUGGACGGCCACAUUGGGACUGAGAUACGGCCCAGACUCCUACGGGAGGCAGCAGUGGGGAAUAUUGCACCAUGGGCGGAAGCCUGAUGCAGCGACGCCGCGUGGGGGAUGACGGCCUUCGGGUUGUAAACUCCUUUCGACCGCGAGGAAGCCACCUGGUUGGAAGGGUGGUGACGGUAGUGGUAGAAGAAGCACCGGCUAACUACGUG